This 463-nucleotide long non-coding RNA is filed under the name Coturnix japonica (Japanese quail). Its description in RNAcentral is "lncRNA (ENSCJPG00005019466.1)". The record is from RNAcentral. Lineage: Eukaryota; Metazoa; Chordata; Aves; Galliformes; Phasianidae.
UUGACGAAAAAAUGCAUAUGAAGGCCAGAUACCUGUGUCCUGAGGCCAUCAGACACUUCCCUAAUGAACUACUGAAUGUGUAAAAUAAUUAAUCAUUCUGAGAAGAGAGAAGAAAUUUGGUAUGGAUUCAUAAAGGAUGGGACCAAAGCAUGAAUAGAAAGGAAGACUGGUAGAAGACAAUAUUGGGAAGGGUUUCUGGACCUUCAUUUUGCAAAUCAGUUCAGCAGAUGACUGAGCUAAUGAAUGAGUUCUUAAUUGGUCAGAGAAUCUAAACAAGUCUCUAGAUGAGAUAUUGGCUUGCCUGUCCCUAGCCUAUAUAGCAAUACCAGUGAUUACCAUUCUCCUGUUGUGUGAAGACACAUCUGCAGAUAACCAGGACUACUCUGCAUCUCCAAUAACACUUCCUUGGUUCUAAAUAUUCACAGUUUUUCCGGAGUAGCCCUCUGCCCCACGACUACAGAGG